GACGAACGCUGGCGGCGUGCUUAACACAUGCAAGUCGAACGAAGAGCGAUGGAAGCUUGCAUCUAUCAAUCUUAGUGGCGAACGGGUGAGUAACGCGUACUCAACCUGCCCUUAAGAGGGGGACAACAGUUGGAAACGACUGCUAAUACCGCAUACGAUCUAAUCUCGGCAUCGAGGAUAGAUGAAAGGUGGCCUCUACAUGUAAGCUAUCACUGAUGGAGGGGAUUGCGUCUGAUUAGCUAGUUGGAGGGGUAACGGCCCACCAAGGCGAUGAUCAGUAGCCGGUCUGAGAGGAUGAACGGCCACAGUGGGACUGAGACACGGCCCAGACUCCUACGGGAGGGAGCAGUGGGGAAUCUUCCGAAAUGGACGAAAGUCUGACGGAGCAACGCCGAGUGAGUGAUGACGGCCUUCGGGUUGUAAAGCUCUGUUAAUCGGGACGAAAGGCCUUCUUGCGAAUAGUGAGAAGGAUUGACGGUACCGGAAUAGAAAGCCACGGCUAACUACGUG
RNAcentral lists this ribosomal RNA (510 nucleotides) under uncultured bacterium. Its description in RNAcentral is "partial 16S ribosomal RNA". It matches the Rfam family "Bacterial small subunit ribosomal RNA", at positions 28 to 507 of the family's 1533-position model. The record is from RNAcentral.